This 276-nucleotide long non-coding RNA is filed under the name Manihot esculenta (cassava). RNAcentral's name for it is "long non-coding RNA (MESC_LNC012088)". Lineage: Eukaryota; Viridiplantae; Streptophyta; Magnoliopsida; Malpighiales; Euphorbiaceae. The record is from RNAcentral.
GCCUGCUCAAUCUUUCUUUUCAGUUCCUCCGACUCCUGAUACUCCGCUAGACAUUUCUCGCGUUCUAGCUGGACUUUGCUUUCAGCGUGUUUCACUACCUUGAGCAGGGCUGAACAUUUACGUUCCAAAGUCCUGACUUCAUGGUUAAGCUGUUGAUGGCGAAGUUGGAAUUCCUCCGCCGAUGAAGCCAGGUCUCUGAUACGUUUAGAACUCGUGCUCAGCUCCUGCUCAAGGACUUCCACCCGAGCUAGGGCUUUCUCUUUCUGAACAUUCACC